GGAACAGGGUGCUGUUUGGGACUGGGGAACAGGGUGCUGUUUGGGACUGGGGAACAGGGUGCUGUUUGGGACUGGGGAACAGGGUGCUGUUUGGGACUGGGGAACAGGGUGCUGUUUGGGACUGGGGAAAAGGGUGCUGCUUGGGACUGGGGAACAGGGUCCUGUUUAGAAGAUAGAUUUGGCUGAGCUAAAAGUAAACCAAAUUAUGAUUGGUAAUUUUAUUUUGACACGAUUCAGUAUAUUUGUCCAUGAUAUGUUUUGUUGUAGAUAUACAGCAAUAACGGGUUACCUGCCUGUCUGGUUACCUGCCUGUCUGGUUACCUUCCUGUCUGGUUACCUACCUGUCUGGUUACCUACCUGUCUGGUUACCUGCCUGUCUGGUUACCUGCCUGUCUGGUUACCUGCCUGUCUGGUUACCUGCCUGUCUGGUUACCUGCCUGUCUGGUUACCUACCUGUCUGGUUACCUGCCUGUCUGGUUACCUGCCUGUCUGGUUACCUGCCUGUCUGGUUACCUACCUGUCUGGUUACCUGCCUGUCUGGUUACCUACCUGUCUGGUUACCUGCCUGUCUGGUUACCUGCCUGUCUGGUUACCUGGAUGUAAAGUGUCACUUUAUGUGUAUCAAAAACCAUAAACCCUCCACCCACCAUAUAUAUAUAUAUACACACACACCAUCAGAUCAAGAUACUCAACUCACUGUAGAUAUUGGAUCAUGAAGGAGAUUUUUGUACCAGUUGUUUCACUCCUCGUCAACAACAACAUUGUCGUAUUACAUGUAGCCUAAAAUGUAUAGUUUACUUUUAACUCCACUUAGAAAGAUAACAAACAUGCUUCUUGACUUUUUCAUUGUUUCAUUUUUAUAGAAUCUUUGAUAAACAAUGAUUAAACGACAAACAGAACAAUGGCGUUUGUGUUUUAUUUUUCUGAAUCCUGAAGUUGUUACCCUCAGUGUUAAUCCCUCAGUAACCAGGUUGUGUUAAUCCCUCGUAAACAGGUUGUUGAUCCCUCAGUAACCAGGUUGUGUUAAUCCCUCGUAAACAGGUUGUUAAUCCCUCAGUAAACAGGUUGUGUUAAUCCGACAGUAAACAAGUUGUUAAUCCCUCGUAAACAGGUUGUUAAUCCCUCAGUAAACAGGUUGUUAAUCCCUCAGUAAACAGGUUGUUAAUCCCUCAGUAAACAGGUUGUUAAUCCCUCGUAAACAGGUUGUUAAUCCCUCAGUAAACAGGUUGUGUUAAUCCGUCAGUAAACAGGUUGUGUUAAUCCCUCGUAAACAGGUUGUUAAUCCCUCAGUAAACAGGUUGUUAAUCCCUCAGUAAACAGGUUGUUAAUCCCUCAGAGGGCAAAGGGCAGGACAAUGUAAAUAGUCUGGGUGGCCAUUUGAUUAGUUUAGUCAUUCAGCAGUCUUAUGGCUUGGGGGUAGAAGCUGUUAAAGAGCCUUGGCGCUCCGGUACCG
Molecule: non-coding RNA, 1453 nt
Organism: Oncorhynchus mykiss (rainbow trout)
Lineage: Eukaryota; Metazoa; Chordata; Actinopteri; Salmoniformes; Salmonidae
Source: RefSeq, a predicted model, not a curated record